GAAGUGGGAGAGGCUGAACACUGUCGAGCUCUUCCAGGAGAGACCAGGACAGGAGCGAGACCAUGCAUUUACUGACAGCCUCCUGCAGCUGCCGAGAGCUUGGGAUGCUGCCUCCUCCCAUGGGCAUCGGUGCUCCAGCAUGCGCUCUCCUCUCCCGGCAUCUCCUGAACCCAGCUGAAAUAGAUUACAGCCAAAGAUUUAAUGAUUCAGCGUUUCUGUUGCCGCUGA
Molecule: long non-coding RNA, 228 nt
Organism: Oxyura jamaicensis (ruddy duck)
Lineage: Eukaryota; Metazoa; Chordata; Aves; Anseriformes; Anatidae
Exons: 2
Source: RefSeq, a predicted model, not a curated record